Vigna umbellata (rice bean) is the source of this 1371-nucleotide RNA transcript. It is a transcript of the gene named Regulator of Vps4 activity in the MVB pathway protein, with no coding region annotated. The record is from RefSeq and is a predicted model, not a curated record. NCBI's taxonomy places the organism in Eukaryota, Viridiplantae, Streptophyta, Magnoliopsida, Fabales, Fabaceae.
AGGAUGGAUGAGAAGAGAAAUAUAUUUGAAGGGCAGAGACAUUUGUUGUUUCCAUUGGUCUCACCCUACCACGGGCAGUGGUAUCUAAGAAACAGGCACCAUGUCACUUCUUAACCAGCUUUUUAACAGAGGCGUUUUGGGAACUCGAUGCAAAACAUGCCUGAACCUCGCAAUUUCACGCAUUAAGCUGCUACAGAACAAAAGAGAUGUGCAACUGAAACAAAUGUGCAAGGAGAUAAGCCAAUUCUUGCAGGCUGGCCAAGAGGCAAUUGCUAGAAUCCGGGUGGAGCAUAUUAUACGAGAACAAAAUAUAUGGGCUGCAUAUGAAAUCUUGGAGUUGUUCUGUGAAUUUGUUCUUGCGCGUGUACCUAUAAUUGAGAACCAGAGGGAAUGCCCCUCGGAAUUGCGAGAAGCCAUUGCAAGUAUAAUUUUUGCUGCUCCUAGAUGUUCUGAUGUACCAGACUUAUUGCACAUCAAGAACUUGUUUACCACUAAAUAUGGGAAAGAAUUUGUCUCUGCAGCAUCAGAACUUCGUCCUGAUUCAGGCGUAAACCGCACGAUCAUUGAAAAGCUUUCAGUUACUGCUCCAUCUGGAGAGGUAAAACUCAAGGUCUUGAGGGAGAUUGCUGAAGAAUACAAUAUAGCAUGGGAUUCUUCUAAAACUGAGGCUGAAUUUCGGAAAAAUCAUGAAGAUCUUCUGGGAGGAGCAAAGCAAGUUAGUGCUGGAGUUACGCUUUCUCAUACGCCCAGCAGAAAUGGUUCUAAUAAUUCACCAUCUCGUACUAAGGAACCUUCUAACAAGUCUGUGCAUGAUAAACAAGAAUAUAAACAACUUGAAGCUCCCAGCCUUUCUAACAAUAAUUCUGCAUUGAAUAUUAAUGAAAUUGAACAGUCCCACAAAAAUAAUGAUGUUCCCGCUGGAGAUGCCCAAAGUGAGACAAGAUUUCAAUCUUCUGAUGUACUGGAGAAGGCGCGUGCUGCCAUUGCUUCUGCAGAUCGUGCAUCAGCAGCUGCUCGUGCUGCUGCUGCACUAGUCCAGAGUAGUUUUGCAUCAUUGAAGCUGGAAGGUAAAUAAAUCUUCAGUGAUCGUAAUAACGGAAAAGAAACGUUAGGAACUAAAUGCGAAAGGAGAAAGUGAUGUUCUUUAUUGCGGAGGUGACAGCUUCAUACGCUUGUUUCAAGUAAUAAGAAUUGUGCGGUAUGGGAUAAACUUUUUGUAGUUGUGAUACUUGUUAGGUGUUGUGGCCUUUUCAACCCAACCCAACAUGUGCAAGUGUGAUGAGACCUUCAUGUGCUAUUAUAUUUGACAGGAUUGAUUUUUUUUAUUGACAACCGCUGGUUAUCAUCAGUUAUUAUUUGAAGAUGUGUGGG